AGUCAUUGUUUGCGGGUGCCGCAUCACCAAGAUUCUUAAGUGAGUAGUGUGACAUGAUUUAAUUGAUUUAGUUAUGCCGAUCGGCUCACGGAGUUGAGAAUCUUGAUGAUGCUGCAUCAGCGAUGGAUGACU
RNAcentral lists this microRNA precursor (132 nucleotides) under Malus domestica (apple). RNAcentral's name for it is "miR172e stem-loop (mdm-MIR172e)". Its record names the gene mdm-MIR172e. The record is from miRBase by way of RNAcentral. Lineage: Eukaryota; Viridiplantae; Streptophyta; Magnoliopsida; Rosales; Rosaceae.